RNAcentral lists this ribosomal RNA (626 nucleotides) under uncultured Verrucomicrobiota bacterium. RNAcentral describes it as "bacterial SSU rRNA". It matches the Rfam family "Bacterial small subunit ribosomal RNA", at positions 77 to 680 of the family's 1533-position model. The record is from RNAcentral. Lineage: Bacteria; Pseudomonadati; Verrucomicrobiota.
UAGCAAUACAUCCAGGUUGGAGUGGCGCAAGGGUGCGUAACACGUGGGUAAUUUGCCGUGAAGUUGGGGAUAACUCGCUGAAAGGCGAGCUAAUACCGAAUGUGAAUGUUGGGAGGCAUCUCCUGGCAUUCAAAGUUGGGGACCGCAAGGCCUGACGCUUCACGAUAAGCCCGCGGCCUAUCAGCUAGUUGGUGAGGUAACGGCUCACCAAGGCUAAGACGGGUAGCUGGUCUGAGAGGACGACCAGCCACACUGGAACUGAGACACGGUCCAGACACCUACGGGUGGCAGCAGUCGAGAAUUUUUCUCAAUGGGCGAAAGCCUGAAGGAGCGACGCCGCGUGGGGGAUGAAGGGCUUCGGCUCGUAAACCCCUGUCAUUUGCGAACAAACCUUACGUUCUAACAAAACGUGAGCUGAUUGUAGCGAAAGAGGAAGGGACGGCUAACUCUGUGCCAGCAGCCGCGGUAAUACAGAGGUCCCAAGCGUUGUUCGGAUUCACUGGGCGUAAAGGGUGCGUAGGUGGCAGGGUAAGUUUGAUGUGAAAUCUCCGAGCUUAACUCGGAAACUGCAUUGAAUACUAUCCUGCUCGAGGUUUGGAAGGGGGACUGGAAUUCACGGUGUAGCA